UUAACUAUUUACAUAGUACUCGGACAACAUAAUAAAGAGUUUUGGGGUCCUCUGGCAGGCGCGGACCAGCCUAAGCCAGUGGUCAUAAGACGGGCCUGCCAAAGCAACAAAGGUAAUGUAAACAAAGGGUGGGGGAGAUCUACCCCGAAGGGCAAUUUCUCUGUAAUGAUCCUUCCGCAGCGGAAAUAUAGCGGCAAUUUCUAGCAGCCUCCCGAUCAUAUCUUAAACCCUACACUGGGGGCCACCUCCAUUUGACCUGUGAGCCUAUUGCUAGGCUGCUGGUAUUGCAAAUGUAAAUCCCAGCACAGUGGAGAUGUUGCCUGCUGAUACAGACUUUCUAUUCUGGCGAACCUGGAAGAGAUGUUCACCUACGGAAA
Molecule: unclassified non-coding RNA, 377 nt
Filed under: uncultured fungus
Lineage: Eukaryota; Fungi
Description: sequence contains ITS1
Source: RNAcentral